RNAcentral lists this unclassified non-coding RNA (147 nucleotides) under soil metagenome. RNAcentral describes it as "partial internal transcribed spacer 1". The record is from RNAcentral.
CCGAGUUUACAACUCCCAAACCCCUGUGAACAUACCACUUGUUGCCUCGGCGGAUUAGCCCGCUCCCGGUAAAACGGGACGGCCCGCCAGAGGACCCCUAAACUCUGUUUCUAUAUGUAACUUCUGAGUAAAACCAUAAAUAAAUCA